GGACGUUUGUCGAAAGAUGAAGCAUCAUCGAGUAAGAGGUAUGGUAGCAAUUUUGGGAAGAAAAAGGACAAUGAAGCGAAUGCAAUAAGCAGUGGGAGGCAGAGGAGGCCUCAGAUCAGAAGGAAUCCACCAUCCCGUCAACAUCAUCAUCAAGUAUCUUUAGUUAUCCCUGUAUUUUCUAAUCAACAAUCAACACCAGUUCAACAAUCACAACAUCAACAACAACAACCGCAACAACGAACAAACACCUACUACAACAACAAUACCAACAAUCAUCGUCAAUAAAACUUUGAAAGGAAGAAAGUCUCUUUCGACCUGAUUCCUAUGUCUUAUGCAGAAUUAUACCCGUCUUUGGUUCUCAAGAACCUAAUCCAACCAAG
Molecule: long non-coding RNA, 380 nt
Filed under: Lathyrus oleraceus (garden pea)
Lineage: Eukaryota; Viridiplantae; Streptophyta; Magnoliopsida; Fabales; Fabaceae
Description: Pisum sativum (pea) long non-coding RNA (PSAT_LNC027495)
Source: RNAcentral